UCCGAUUAUGUUGAAAGAAAUGAAAUUAUAGGAGGCUCCAUGUUGAAGGAUUAUCAGAGAAGGACACGCCCCACCCAGGUUCCUACAAUAUAGGAUCCACUCAGUGGAUAUAUUCUAUAUUAGAUCCUUUUCCUGAUUGACCCAUCAAGGAUGGACACAGACAAGAUAGCGGAGAGUAUGAUAAAUCUCACCCUAGAGAUCCUCUUCCGGCUUACUGGAGAGGACUACACAGUAGUGAAGAAGACCUCUGGUGAGCGCUGUCAGGCCCCUGUGUCUG
Bufo bufo (common toad) is the source of this 277-nucleotide long non-coding RNA. RefSeq lists it as uncharacterized. The transcript is spliced from 3 exons. Lineage: Eukaryota; Metazoa; Chordata; Amphibia; Anura; Bufonidae. The record is from RefSeq and is a predicted model, not a curated record.